UACAGAGGUCCCAAGCGUUGUUCGGAUUCACUGGGCGUAAAGGGUGCGUAGGCGGCUUUGUAAGUUAGAGGUGAAAGCCCGGGGCUCAACCCCGGAAUUGCCUUUAAGACUGCAUCGCUUGAAUCCGGGAGAGGUGAGUGGAAUUCCGAGUGUAGAGGUGAAAUUCGUAGAUAUUCGGAAGAACACCAGUGGCGAAGGCGGCUCACUGGACCGGUAUUGACGCUGAGGUGCGAAAGCGUGGGGAGCAAACAGG
This 253-nucleotide ribosomal RNA is filed under the name uncultured bacterium. RNAcentral describes it as "partial 16S ribosomal RNA". It matches the Rfam family "Bacterial small subunit ribosomal RNA", at positions 524 to 776 of the family's 1533-position model. The record is from RNAcentral.